This 1389-nucleotide ribosomal RNA is filed under the name Triticum aestivum (bread wheat). RNAcentral describes it as "partial small subunit ribosomal RNA". The record is from RNAcentral. Lineage: Eukaryota; Viridiplantae; Streptophyta; Magnoliopsida; Poales; Poaceae.
AUGGGUGGCACCAUGUCGCUGGCGCUGCCAGGCUGCCCUGACAAGUGUGGCGAUGUGCUCAUCCCUUACCCCUUUGGUGUCGGGGCUCAAUGCUCCGCAGUCAGCCUCAACAGCUUCUUCAAUCUUGACUGUAAAAACGCCUCUCACCCGCCACGGCCAACGGCGGGGGGCCCGGCCGACAUAGCUGUUGACGUCGUUGAUAUCUCACGGGAGCAUGGUGAGAUCCGGAUGCUCAUCCCGGUCAGCUACAUCUGCUUCACAUCAAGUGCCGUAGUAUCGGCCACCAACAACGAUACUGUGUGGUUCAGCCUGCAGGACACACCGUUCAUCCCAUCCCCUGGACGGAACCGCUUCACGGUCAUUGGCUGCAACACCAUGGGGGUUGUUAGCGGUUUCCGUGGGGUCAGAAGUCAGUACCUCGCUGGCUGCUAUUCUUACUGUGAUGGUGCCAGCGAAAAAGAGAUCAGGAUAGCCACUGAUAACUACAACGAAGAUCGAGUUCUUGGAUGCGGCGGUCAUGGAAUGGUCUACAGGGGUACCUUGGAUGACCUCAGAGAGAUCAACCACCGGAACAUCGUGAGGUUACUUGGCUGUUGCCUGGACAUAGAUGUCCCAAUGUUGGUCUACGAGUUCGUCGCCAACGGGACGCUGUAUGAUCUUCUUCACGGCAGUCCUGAUCACAAUCCUUCACCAAUUCCAUUCGAUCUCCGCCUGAAGAUUGCAACACAAUCAACAGAAGCUCUUGCGUACUUGCACUCAUCAACAUCUCGCACGAUUCUACAUGGGGAUGUCAAAUGUUCCAACAUUCUAUUGGAUGAUCAGCAUGAUGCCAAGGUUGCGGACUUUGGGGCAUCGGCGCUCAAGUCCAUGGAUGAAAGUGAGUUCAUCAUGCUUGUCCAGAGAACCCUUGGCUACCUCGACCCCGAGAGCUUCAUGAGCCACCUCCUCAGUGACAAGAGCGAUGUCUACAGCUUUAGGGUCGUUCUCCUCGAGCUGUUGACGAGAAAGAAAGCUCUAUACACUGAUUACAACUCCAGCGAGAAGAGAUCAUUGUCCCAUAAUUUUCUCCUUAUGUUUCGCCAAAACAAGCACCAAACAAUGCUGGAUUCUGAGAUCACAGAUGAUGAUGCGGCCAUGGUGGUCGUCGAGAAGCUUGUCAUCCUCACUGUUGACUGCCUGAGUGUGAGAGGGGAGGACAGACUGACGAUGAAGGAAGUCGCGGAGCGGCUGCGGGUGCUUUGGAGACACCAGAUACAUGCUUCCGGUGCUGGCGAAAACGGUUGUGAGUUUGAUAGCAACUAUGGAAUAUGGCCGUCAUCUGUAAUUCUUCCUUUGGACGAGAUGACAGACGGAAGCUUGGAGAUGUGCAAACUGGUGCGGGACAUAUAG